GAUGAAGAACGUAGCGAAAUGCGAUAAGUAAUGUGAAUUGCAGAAUUCAGUGAAUCAUCGAAUCUUUGAACGCACCUUGCGCUCCUUGGUAUUCCGAGGAGCAUGCCUGUUUGAGUGUCAUUAAUAUAUCAACCUUCUCUUUUUUGAGUUGUUUGGAUGUGGGGGUUUGCUGGCCUCUUAAAUGAUUCAGCUCCCCUGAAAUGCAUUAGCAGAACAACCUGUUCAUUAGCGAGAUAAUUAUCUAUGCUAUUGAAUGUGAGGGCAGUUCAGCUUUCUAACCGUCCUUGGACAAUUCAUCAUUAAUGUGACCUCAAAUCAGGUAGGACUACCCGCUGAACUUAAGCAUAUCAAUAAGCGGAGGA
Molecule: unclassified non-coding RNA, 362 nt
Filed under: soil metagenome
Description: partial contains 5.8S ribosomal RNA, internal transcribed spacer 2, and large subunit ribosomal RNA
Rfam family: 5.8S ribosomal RNA (bases 1-120)
Source: RNAcentral